GAGCGCCGUAGCAAUACGGAGCGGCAGACGGGAGAGUAACACGUGGGAACGUGCCCUUCAGUUCGGAACAACCCAGGGAAACUUGGGCUAAUACCGGAUACGUCCGUAAGGAGAAAGAUUUAUCGCUGAAGGAUCGGCCCGCGUCUGAUUAGCUAGUUGGUGAGGUAACGGCUCACCAAAGCGACGAUCAGUAGCUGGUCUGAGAGGAUGAUCAGCCUCACUGGGACUGAGACACGGCCCAGACUCCUACGGAUGGCAGCAGUAGGGAAUCUUGCGCAAUGGGCGAAAGCCUGACGCAGCGACACCGCGUGGGGGAUGAAGGCCUUCGGGUUGUAAACCCCUUUCAUGAGGGAAGAACACUGACCUAACCUCAGGAAGAAGCACCGGCUAACUCCGUG
This 398-nucleotide ribosomal RNA is filed under the name uncultured bacterium. Its description in RNAcentral is "bacterial SSU rRNA". It matches the Rfam family "Bacterial small subunit ribosomal RNA", at positions 64 to 507 of the family's 1533-position model. The record is from RNAcentral.